UGAAGUAUUGAUAUAUGCUAAAAUGUGGAUAAACCUCAAAAACAUUAUGCUAAGUGAAAAAAGAGAGAUACAAAGGUCACAUGUAUACAUCGGAGAUGGGGUGCAUCUGAUUGCCUGGUGUCAGAAGUGUGUUGUGAUGAGUUUCAGAGCAAGAAAAACAGUUUGGUUUGGUAUCCGUCUCAUACAGUCAGGUACUUUGAGGCUGAUGUCACAAACUAGUUUAUUAUCUCAUAAAGGAACAAACAAACAAACAAACAAAAACCUUACAUACUUGCCUAACAAACAUGUCAAAACACUUUAUCAAGAACUUACAAGACAGAAAAAAAAGUGAAUUAAAUGCUGUACCUAAUUUCUCAUAAAGAUAGAAGAUACUGCACAAGAUAUUUGUUUGGUAAUGUUUGAUAAUCUCCUUAAUUUACCAUCCUGGAUUUGGAGCAAACUCCUCAUCUGCUCAGGCAUGAAUACUGUUUUUCUUUUGGAAAAAAAAAAAAAAAAGGAAAGUAAACCAGCCUGUCAUUUUGGUACAGUGUAGUGCCUCUGAGUACUGUCUGCCUCAACUGUGUGAGUUUUGUCUAGCUGUGUGACCUUGUAUGAAGACAAAAGGCUUUUUGAAUGAAAGUCCUAAAAUCACCCUUCAAUGGCAACUCUUUAAAAGAAUGAUGGAAUCAAGAAAUUAGCCCUUGGGAAAAAUAUCUUUUAGACAAUGGCCAUUUUUAAAAUUUAUAAAUAUAUUCAUAUUUGUCCUUUAAAAAGA
RNAcentral lists this long non-coding RNA (754 nucleotides) under Homo sapiens (human). RNAcentral describes it as "HSALNT0296990". The record is from RNAcentral. Lineage: Eukaryota; Metazoa; Chordata; Mammalia; Primates; Hominidae.